CCUACGGGGGGCAGCAGUGGGGAAUAUUGCACAAUGGGGGGAACCCUGAUGCAGCAACGCCGCGUGGGUGAAGAAGUACUCCGGUAUGUAAAGCCCUGUCAGCAGGGAAGAAAAUGACGGUACCUGACCAAGAAGCCCCGGCUAACUACGUGCCAGCAGCCGCGGUAAUACGUCGGGGGCAAGCGUUAUCCGGAUUUACUGGGGGUAAAGGGAGCGUAGACGGCAAGGCAAGUCUGGAGGGAAAGCUCCGGGCCUAACCACCGGACUGCCUUGGAAACUGGGUUGCUGGAGUGGAGGAGGGGUACGCGGAAUGCGUAGUGUAGCGGUGAAAUGCGUAGAUAUUAGGAGGAACACCGGUGGCGAAGGCGGCUUACUGGACUGUAACUGACGUUGAGGCUCGAAGGCGUGGGGAGCAAACAGGAUUAGAUACCCCAGUAGUC
RNAcentral lists this ribosomal RNA (440 nucleotides) under uncultured bacterium. RNAcentral's name for it is "partial 16S ribosomal RNA". It matches the Rfam family "Bacterial small subunit ribosomal RNA", at positions 338 to 795 of the family's 1533-position model. The record is from RNAcentral.